Molecule: unclassified non-coding RNA, 336 nt
Filed under: soil metagenome
Description: partial contains 5.8S ribosomal RNA, internal transcribed spacer 2, and large subunit ribosomal RNA
Rfam family: 5.8S ribosomal RNA (bases 1-120)
Source: RNAcentral
GAUGAAGAACGCAGCGAAAUGCGAUAAGUAAUGUGAAUUGCAGAAUUCAGUGAAUCAUCGAAUCUUUGAACGCACAUUGCGCCCGCCAGUAUUCUGGCGGGCAUGCCUGUUCGAGCGUCAUUUCAACCAUCAAGCCCCAGGCUUGUGUUGGGGACCUGCGGCUGCCGCAGGCCCUGAAAACCAGUGGCGGGCUCGCUGUCACACCGGGCGUAGUAGAUUUUAUCUCGCUCAGGGCGUGCUGCGGGUCCCGGCCGUUAAAAACCUUUUUUUACCCAAGGUUGACCUCGGAUCAGGUAGGAAGACCCGCUGAACUUAAGCAUAUCAAUAAGCGGAGGA